Molecule: long non-coding RNA, 2203 nt
Organism: Cyprinus carpio carpio
Lineage: Eukaryota; Metazoa; Chordata; Actinopteri; Cypriniformes; Cyprinidae
Source: Ensembl
GUCAUGAUAUAUCAAAAAGUAAAAAUACUUCACCUUCACACCUGUGUUACAGUGUAUAAUAAUCAGCACAUUUGUCUUUUUGUCACAUUUGCAUCAUGGUGGAGAUAUUUACAGGCUGAAGAGAGCUUCUGCACUGACCUUCUUUUUUAAAAAAUCUAAAUGUUAAUAAUUAUUUUGCCCUUUACAGUGUGCUCUUGAUGGGCUCAGAUCAGCAAAAAGAUAAAAAUAACUGGGACUUUUGCCUUUCAUUUAGGCAUUUUUCACGUUUAUGUUCCUGUUGGGUUCCUGUUUUUCCUUAUUUGGUCAUGUUUCUGUGUUCCCUGAAUAGUUCAUUAGUCUCCACCUGUGUUAAUUAAUCUUCUCUUUAGUUCCCUUUGUUUGGUUCUUGUUUAUAAGUCCUGAGUUUUCCCUGAGUCUUUGUCCGUUCUCUUUCAUGUUAAGCUGCAUUAUCACCGUCUCCUAGUUCCUGUGGUUUUAAUUAAAGUGUUCCGUGUUUGAAUCGCACUCUGAUUCUCCAGUCCCUUUCCUGAUACACAUUGUAUGCUGACAGAAGAGCAGACCAAACAAGAUGACUGAAGCUGAGGAUCGGCUGUGGUGCCUGCAACAGGGUGGCUGGCCUUUGCAGAGAGCUCACCUGGGGGCCAAAGUUAAAAUCCACAUCACUCCCACUAUCUCCAGCCCCAAGAUUGGUCCCAGUCCUCCACCCAGAAAUGCCAGCCGAUCCAUUGUCGAGCCCGCUGUCCGAUCCACCAUGAUGUCUGGACCCAACAGGAACAUAAAUGUGACAUUUCACCCCAGGAGAAAACAGCAGAAAGAGAUUGGCAGUGUGCUCUCAGACUUUUGAACCUCACAGUAGACAGAUGAACAGUGCUUGAAUGUGAGUCAGUGGCCAUUUCUCAUAAAUGAGAAAAUCUUUUCUGUUGCUGGCUCCUCAUCAGCAAUAGUGUCUUUUGAACUGUUUUAUUUACCCACCUUCAUGUCAUUCCAAACCUGAAUGAUUUUCUUUCUUGUGGUACAUAAGAUAUUUUGAGAAGAUAAGACACCGAGAAAUGUCUUAGUGUGUUUUUUCUUCUUCUUGAAAGUCAAAGGUCACCAAAACUGUCUGGUCACCAACAUUCUUCAAAAUAUUUUCUUUUGUGAUCUACUGGUUUGGAAAGACAUAAUGGCAUCUUGAUACUAUGAUUUAGCAAUAUAGAGAAAUAGACUUCCAAUAACAAAACAGAAUAGGAAGACUGAAGAAAUCUAGUCAUCCUGACCAAUGAACAUUCUGUCCAUGAGCUGCUUUUGAGGAGAGUGUUUGGAAGAACGGACACAGGUAAUGUGUGGGCUGAGAGGACAGCGGCUCCCUUAGGGGCUUUUCUGACCAGAUUUGACUGUCCCUCUGACAGCUGCCCUGAGGGAUAAAAAGCACCCAUGUUACAUUUUGAUUUUUAGAGCUGUUAAGUGACUUCAAUAAUAUAUCAAAACUUUUAUAAUAUAGAUAACAUUUUGCUUACUAGAAAGUUUCCUAAAUAAGUUUAUCAUUCAAAAAAACCAUAACAACAAUAUAAUUGUAUCCAUGGUCAUAAGUGCACUUUCAGUCACUGUCAGAGGAAUCAUUUUCUUCAUUAACAGCAAUUCAUCUUAAUCGUUUCAUAAUAUUAGAUUUAAAUCAGCAUUAGCCACAGAGACAACCACGACAACCACAUAUCCUAAUUGCCCCUUUACAUAACCAACCACAGCUUUCAUAAAGAGAAGUAAUUACCCAUGCUCAUUGAGUAUCCUCAUGUUCUCUGUGUUUCUGUUCACUGACUACUGUGAGGCAGUGGAUGUGGCUGUAAUCUGUCAUCUAGUGAGGCAGUGCGUAGAUAUGCUGAUGUACAUCAGUUGUUUCGAGUAGAUGGUGUUCUUUUCUUGCCCCCCCACAGAUGAUGUUUUGGCCUUUGGAUGAGCUGGAGAAAUCCUAGACAUACAUUUCCUGUGUGGUUUAGCAGUCUGUAACCAUAAAAACUCAAGCCAUAUAUAUGUCAUAUGGAAUGGAAUACGUUCCAGGGAGUGUGCCAGGCACAUAAAGAAUCACAAAUUACUACACUUAGAAUGUAAUGGAAAAUUUUUUUUUUACUAAUAAUGAAUAACAUUGAAAAUGGCAUGCAUAUGAUUAGGAAUUAACAGCACAACUAAUACAUUUUUAGUAUCUUUUUGUUUUUAAUGUCAUUCAAAUAUC